AUACGGAGGGUGCAAGCGUUAUCCGGAAUCAUUGGGUUUAAAGGGUCCGUAGGCGGGCAAAUAAGUCAGAGGUGAAAUCCCACAGCUCAACUGUGGAACUGCCUUUGAUACUGUUUGUCUUGAGUUAUAGUGAAGUAGAUAGAAUAUGUAGUGUAGCGGUGAAAUGCAUAGAUAUUACAUAGAAUACCGAUUGCGAAGGCAGUCUACUAACUAUUGACUGACGCUAAUGGACGAAAGCGUGGGGAGCGAACAGGAUUAGAAACCCCUGUAGUCC
This 274-nucleotide ribosomal RNA is filed under the name uncultured bacterium. RNAcentral's name for it is "partial 16S ribosomal RNA". It matches the Rfam family "Bacterial small subunit ribosomal RNA", at positions 523 to 796 of the family's 1533-position model. The record is from RNAcentral.